UUUCUCCGACACGUGAUGCCGGCUUCUUGCUGGAAGUUGAUGAAGCAGCUAAACAUCGGCCCUGAGAGAAAGCUUCGCAUGGCGCACAGGGUGCUACGAGGGUUCGUUGUGGAGAUGAUGAAGAGGAGGAAGAUCAACACAUGUCAUGUUGGUAACGACGAGGAACAAGAUGGUGUGGAUUUUGUGUCUUCGUUCCUCCAUGACCCUGAGUAUGCUGAUGAUGACUUGUUCCAUGCUAUGAUGAUUGGUUACAUGGUCGCUGCAAGGGAUACAGUUGGAACUACCCUUACAUGGUUCUUCUACAACCUCGCCCAGAACCCUAAGAUCGUGCCAAUCAUCCGCGAUGAACUCUCACCCAUUGCAUCAAACAAAGUAGCGUCUAGGGUAGGUGCCAUGGUGAUCUUUGAACCGGACGAGACCAAAUCUCUAGUGUAUCUGAGAGCCGACUUGUACGAGACACUCAGGUUGUACCCACCGGCGCCAAUCGAGCGCAAGACGGUGUCCGGCGAUGAUAUCAUGCCAAGUGGCCACCAGGUGCAAGCCGGCGACACCAUCUUUAUUUCUCUCCACUCCAUGGGUAGAAUGGAGGGCUUGUGGGGUAAAGACUGCCUCGACUAUAACCCAGAUAGGUGGCUCUCGGAUGAUGGCAACAACCUGAAGUAUGUACCAUCUCACAAGUUUUUAGCCUUUAACUCAGGCCCGAGAAUGUGCCUCGGAAAGGACAUCGCUAUUAUGCAGAUGAAGACUGUCCUCGCCACAAUGGUGUGGAACUUUGAUGUGCAAGCAGUGGAAGGGCAGAGCAUUCAACCCAAGCCGUCUUGUAUACUGGAGAUGAAGAAUGGGUUCAUGGUUAAACUGAAGAAGCGAGAAAUGUAA
RNAcentral lists this ribosomal RNA (876 nucleotides) under Triticum aestivum (bread wheat). Its description in RNAcentral is "partial small subunit ribosomal RNA". The record is from RNAcentral. Lineage: Eukaryota; Viridiplantae; Streptophyta; Magnoliopsida; Poales; Poaceae.